RNAcentral lists this ribosomal RNA (860 nucleotides) under Corynebacterium. RNAcentral's name for it is "bacterial SSU rRNA". It matches the Rfam family "Bacterial small subunit ribosomal RNA", at positions 28 to 899 of the family's 1533-position model. The record is from RNAcentral. Lineage: Bacteria; Bacillati; Actinomycetota; Actinomycetes; Mycobacteriales; Corynebacteriaceae.
GACGAACGCUGGCGGCGUGCUUAACACAUGCAAGUCGAACGGUAAGGCUCCAGCUUGCUGGGGUACACGAGUGGCGAACGGGUGAGUAACACGUGGGUGACCUGCCCUGCACUUCGGGAUAAGCCUGGGAAACUGGGUCUAAUACCGGAUAGGACCGCACCGUGAGGGUGUGGUGGAAAGUUUUUUCGGUGUGGGAUGGGCCCGCGGCCUAUCAGCUUGUUGGUGGGGUAAUGGCCUACCAAGGCGGCGACGGGUAGCCGGCCUGAGAGGGUGGACGGCCACAUUGGGACUGAGACACGGCCCAGACUCCUACGGGAGGCAGCAGUGGGGAAUAUUGCACAAUGGGCGGAAGCCUGAUGCAGCGACGCCGCGUGGGGGAUGACGGCCUUCGGGUUGUAAACUCCUUUCACCAUCGACGAAGGGUUUCUGACGGUAGAUGGAGAAGAAGUACCGGCUAACUACGUGCCAGCAGCCGCGGUAAUACGUAGGGUGCGAGCGUUGUCCGGAAUUACUGGGCGUAAAGAGCUCGUAGGUGGUUUGUCGCGUCGUCUGUGAAAUUCCGGGGCUUAACUCCGGGCGUGCAGGCGAUACGGGCAUAACUUGAGUACUGUAGGGGAGACUGGAAUUCCUGGUGUAGCGGUGAAAUGCGCAGAUAUCAGGAGGAACACCGGUGGCGAAGGCGGGUCUCUGGGCAGUAACUGACGCUGAGGAGCGAAAGCAUGGGGAGCGAACAGGAUUAGAUACCCUGGUAGUCCAUGCCGUAAACGGUGGGCGCUAGGUGUGGGUUUCCUUCCACGGGAUCCGUGCCGUAGCUAACGCAUUAAGCGCCCCGCCUGGGGAGUACGGCCGCAAGGCUAAAA